This 28-nucleotide small RNA is filed under the name Bombyx mori (domestic silkworm). RNAcentral describes it as "ovarian small RNA-33286". Lineage: Eukaryota; Metazoa; Arthropoda; Insecta; Lepidoptera; Bombycidae. The record is from RNAcentral.
UGCAAAUCAGUUACUGUGGAAAUAUUAA